AUCCCUAGCUGGUCUGAGAGGAUGACCAGCCACACUGGAACUGAGACACGGUCCAGACUCCUACGGGAGGCAGCAGUGGGGAAUAUUGCACAAUGGGCGCAAGCCUGAUGCAGCCAUGCCGCGUGUAUGAAGAAGGCCUUCGGGUUGUAAAGUACUUUCAGCGGGGAGGAAGGUGUUGUGGUUAAUAACCGCAGCAAUUGACGUUACCCGCAGA
RNAcentral lists this ribosomal RNA (214 nucleotides) under Mesorhizobium sp. RNAcentral's name for it is "partial 16S ribosomal RNA". It matches the Rfam family "Bacterial small subunit ribosomal RNA", at positions 279 to 485 of the family's 1533-position model. Lineage: Bacteria; Pseudomonadati; Pseudomonadota; Alphaproteobacteria; Hyphomicrobiales; Phyllobacteriaceae. The record is from RNAcentral.